GACGAACGCUGGCGGCGUGCCUAAUACAUGCAAGUAGAACGCUGAAGGAGGAGCUUGCUUCUCUGGAUGAGUUGCGAACGGGUGAGUAACGCGUAGGUAACCUGCCUGGUAGCGGGGGAUAACUAUUGGAAACGAUAGCUAAUACCGCAUAAGAGUAGAUGUUGCAUGACAUUUGCUUAAAAGGUGCAAUUGCAUCACUACCAGAUGGACCUGCGUUGUAUUAGCUAGUUGGUGGGGUAACGGCUCACCAAGGCGACGAUACAUAGCCGACCUGAGAGGGUGAUCGGCCACACUGGGACUGAGACACGGCCCAGACUCCUGCGGGAGGCAGCAGUAGGGAAUCUUCGGCAAUAGACGGAAGUCUGACCGAGCAACGCCGCGUGAGUGAAGAAGGUUUUCGGAUCGUAAAGCUCUGUUGUAAGAGAAGAACGAGUGUGAGAGUGGAAAGUUCACACUGUGACGGUAUCUUACCAGAAAGGGACGGCUAACUACGUG
This 495-nucleotide ribosomal RNA is filed under the name uncultured bacterium. Its description in RNAcentral is "partial 16S ribosomal RNA". It matches the Rfam family "Bacterial small subunit ribosomal RNA", at positions 28 to 507 of the family's 1533-position model. The record is from RNAcentral.